AGACGUCUACAUUAGAUACCCGUGUAGUCCCAGCCGUAAACUAUGCGCGUUAGGUGUAUCGGUGACCACGAGUUACCGAGGUGCCGAAGGGAAACCGUGAAACGUGCCGCCUGGGAAGUACGGUCGCAAGGCUGAAACUUAAAGGAAUUGGCGGGAGCACCACAACAGGUGGAGCCUGCGGUUUAAUUGGACUCAACGCCGGGAAGCUCACCGGAUAGGACAGCAGAAUGAUUGCCGGGCUGAAGACCCUGCAUGACUAGCUG
This 263-nucleotide ribosomal RNA is filed under the name uncultured archaeon. RNAcentral describes it as "partial 16S ribosomal RNA". It matches the Rfam family "Archaeal small subunit ribosomal RNA", at positions 717 to 982 of the family's 1478-position model. The record is from RNAcentral.